UGGCGAACGGGUGAGUAACACGUGGGCAACCUGCCCAAAAGAGGGGGAUAACACCUUGGAAACAGGUGCUAAUACCGCAUAACCAUAGUUACCGCAUGGUAACUAUGUAAAAGGUGGCUAUGCUACCGCUUUUGGAUGGGCCCGCGGCGCAUUAGCUAGUUGGUGGGGUAAAGGCUUACCAAGGCAAUGAUGCGUAGCCGAACUGAGAGGUUGAUCCGGCCACAUUGGGACUGAGACACGGCCCAAACUCCUACGGAAGGCAGCAG
This 266-nucleotide ribosomal RNA is filed under the name uncultured bacterium. RNAcentral describes it as "partial 16S ribosomal RNA". It matches the Rfam family "Bacterial small subunit ribosomal RNA", at positions 96 to 354 of the family's 1533-position model. The record is from RNAcentral.